UACGUAGGGGGCUAGCGUUGUCCGGAUUCAUUGGGCGUAAAGAGCGUGUAGGCGGCCUGAAAGGUCAGCUGUGAAAACUCGAGGCUCAACCUCGAGACGUCGGUUGAAACCAUCUGGCUAGAGUCCGGAAGAGGAGUGUGGAAUUCCCGGUGUAGCGGUGAAAUGCGCAGAUAUCGGGAAGAACACCCGUGGCGAAGGCGGCACUCUGGGACGGUACUGACGCUGAGACGCGAAAGCGUGGGGAGCGAACAGG
RNAcentral lists this ribosomal RNA (253 nucleotides) under uncultured bacterium. RNAcentral's name for it is "partial 16S ribosomal RNA". It matches the Rfam family "Bacterial small subunit ribosomal RNA", at positions 524 to 776 of the family's 1533-position model. The record is from RNAcentral.